CAGUCAGGGUUGAGGCCUUGAAGAGAAAUGAUGACAAAAAUCAUGCUCGAUAAAAUUACACUGAGGCUC
Molecule: small nucleolar RNA, 69 nt
Organism: Diceros bicornis minor
Lineage: Eukaryota; Metazoa; Chordata; Mammalia; Perissodactyla; Rhinocerotidae
Product: small nucleolar RNA SNORD115
Exons: 1
Source: RefSeq, a predicted model, not a curated record